Molecule: long non-coding RNA, 292 nt
Filed under: Anas platyrhynchos platyrhynchos (common mallard)
Lineage: Eukaryota; Metazoa; Chordata; Aves; Anseriformes; Anatidae
Description: lncRNA (ENSAPLG00000016929.1)
Source: RNAcentral
UGCCACUUCAGAUGAUGCAAAACUUACAGUCUUUGGAGGGAUUAAUAAAUGCCUUAUCAACAUUGUGUCUGUGGUGCAUCUUUCCUAGAUUCUGCAGCAGACUGGCCUUGUUGAUCAAUCGGCAUUGGAUCUGUGCACAGCCAUGGCAUUUCUGUUCCUGGGCAGAAGUUAUUUUCAAGUUUCUAAUAAUAAAGUGGGCUUGCUUCCUUGCAAUGAUUGUCUGCCCUUGAUCUGAAACCUGAAAAGUCACUUUUAAAGCCUGUUCUCAGUGAAGACAUGAAGUCAGUUACCA